Molecule: ribosomal RNA, 269 nt
Filed under: uncultured bacterium
Lineage: Bacteria
Description: partial 16S ribosomal RNA
Rfam family: Bacterial small subunit ribosomal RNA
Source: RNAcentral
ACGAACGCUGGCGGCGUGCCUAAUACAUGCAAGUUGAGCGCUGAAGGUUGGUACUUGUACCAACUGGAUGAGCAGCGAACGGGUGAGUAACGCGUGGGGAAUCUGCCUUUGAGCGGGGACAACAUUUGGAAACGAAUGCUAAUACCGCAUAAAAACUUUAAACACAAGUUUUAAGUUUGAAAGAUGCAAUUGCAUCACUCAAAGAUGAUCCCGCGUUGUAUUAGCUAGUUGGUGAGGUAAAGGCUCACCAAGGCGAUGAUACAUAGCCG